Molecule: long non-coding RNA, 251 nt
Organism: Leopardus geoffroyi (Geoffroy's cat)
Lineage: Eukaryota; Metazoa; Chordata; Mammalia; Carnivora; Felidae
Exons: 3
Source: RefSeq, a predicted model, not a curated record
ACUUGUGCUCUCCCGAUAUUGAUGGCAAGUCCAAACUGAUAUAACCUAUCCUGCUGGUUUUACGGAUGUCAUCAGCAUUGACAAGACUGGGGAGAGUUUCCAUAUGAUCUGUGACACCAAGGGUCACUUUGCUGUUUGUUGGAUUACACCUCAGGAGGCCAAGUGUAAGUUUUGCAAAGUGAGAAAGAUCUUUGUGGGGACAAAAGGAAUCCCUCAUCCAGUAACCCAUGAUGCUCUCACCAUCCUUUAAA